UACGGAGGGUGCAAACGUUGCUCGGAAUCAUUGGGCGUAAAGCGCACGUAGGCGGUUUGUUAAGUCGGAUGUGAAAUCCCUCGGCUCAACUGAGGAAGUGCAUCCGAAACUGGCAGGCUUGAGUACUAAAGAGGGUCGCGGAAUUCCCGGUGUAGAGGUGAAAUUCGUAGAUAUCGGGAGGAACACCGGUGGCGAAGGCGGCGACCUGGGUAGAUACUGACGCUGAGGUGCGAAAGCGUGGGGAGCAAACAGG
Molecule: ribosomal RNA, 253 nt
Filed under: uncultured bacterium
Lineage: Bacteria
Description: partial 16S ribosomal RNA
Rfam family: Bacterial small subunit ribosomal RNA
Source: RNAcentral